RNAcentral lists this long non-coding RNA (280 nucleotides) under Serinus canaria (Common canary). Its description in RNAcentral is "lncRNA (ENSSCAG00000014311.1)". Lineage: Eukaryota; Metazoa; Chordata; Aves; Passeriformes; Fringillidae. The record is from RNAcentral.
AAACCUUUUUUCAGAAUAUCACUGAUCAGUAAAAAAAUGUUCUUUGCCUGCAGGGUGGAGUUCAUUUCUUUUGUUCCUGAGAGCUGAAUAGGAGAAAGGGACAUUUCAGCUUUUCUUGAUAAAGAUCAUCUUAUUUAAACUGUGAGGCAAGAAUUCUUCUUGAAAAUUAAGAGUUCUACAGAAAAUUACUCCCUCCUUCUCAAAAAAGUGCUAAGAUGAAGAUUUCAACUAUCACAGAAUCCCUGAGGGGCCAAGCAAGACAUACUGCUUUAUAAAGUGC